RNAcentral lists this long non-coding RNA (477 nucleotides) under Sus scrofa (pig). RNAcentral's name for it is "lncRNA (ENSSSCG00065071166.1)". Lineage: Eukaryota; Metazoa; Chordata; Mammalia; Artiodactyla; Suidae. The record is from RNAcentral.
CUUAUUUUGUAUUUCAUAGAUUGAGGACAUGAAGGGGCUGUCUGGUCAACAGCAGAGUUGGGAUUUGAAUCCAAGGACAUUUGCCUUGAAAGCUCAAGUCCAUUUCACUCUACAGAAAGUCCAGACUCACCUACUUGAGGGAUGGGGGAGCAGACGUGCCCACAGCCCUUCCUCACGCACUGAUGUCCACUCCCACAGUCCUUGUCUUCUCUGCAUUGGUGCUCGCAGGCCUCUCUUUGCUGGGCUGGGGAGCAGACACGGCCACAUCCAUUGCUGGUGCAUCGUCUUCCUUCCCCACAGUCCUGGUCUACCUUGCACUCCGUCACACAGAUACCUACAUCUUGAGAAAAGACCGGGUUGAGAGGCUCACAUUAAACCAGUACUUAUCUUAUAAAUGACCCUGACCUCAUAAUAGCGAUUUGCCUUUUGAUCUAAUACAUCACUGUUUAAACAUGAUCUCACACAGAACCUCAUCUG